AGUUCUCUGCACGAAUACCGAGAGAAAACGAACGGGUGUUCUUCGUGUUCUUCAUAAUCAAACAAGGAUUUGAAGGCGUUAUUGGAAUCCGAUGGAGGCGUAUAAAUAGUCAAAACGAAGCUCUCGACGCGUAGAAUCUAUUGUAGUUAUCCAUACCAGUGCUGAAUCGACAGGUUUUUACUAAGUAAGCUUUUUAAUUUCGAAUUUAAAUGAUUUUAAAUAUGAAUUUUUGCAAACGUGCUUGUUUGAUUGAUUUGAUGCUUCCAUGUUGUAGAGCGUCUCCUGCCAUUCGUUUUCAUAUAUUAUAUGCCGAUUUUUGACUUCCGUAACAUAUAGAAAAGUUAGUUUGAUUCUUGAAGUUGUGUUCUUGGAGGUUAUGAAUGUUCUUAAUUGGAAAAGAGGCGUUUUUAAUCUGGGGAUUCUGCGUUGUAUUGGUUUAUACCAUUAGGAAGAGCGUGUCAAGAGGAAUAUGUUCAUAUAAUCGGAUUUUGUGGAGGAUUCACGGUUGAGCUUAUUGGAGUUUAAGAACACCGGCGGUGUUCUUGGACUUUCCGGCCAAAAUCCGGCCAAACUACAUGCUAUUUACUGAUUCUGAUUAUGGGUAUGGGUUCCUGGUAGUAUGAACUUUAAAUCUGGAGUUUAUGGGGUGUGUAGGACGUCGGAAAAUCGAUUUCCGGCGAGGUAGUAUGGUGGCCGACGGAUAAUUUCCGUUUGGUCACCAACGUUAUGAAGAUGAUGAAGGUUUGACACUGGAGUUUGAUUGUUGACAUUCUAGCUCUCGAACUUUUGAAAGUUUACACCUGGCACCCUGCCAGACAAUUUCAGUAUUUUUACAAUUUAAACCUUUUCAAAUUUAUUUCAAAAAUUCAUUUUAGUGAUUUAUUUUAAUUUCAAAAAUAGUUUCUAAUUACUUCUUUAUUCAAAAAUAAAUCUGAAAUUAGUUUAUUAAUUAAAUUUAAUUAGUAAUUAAUUAUUUUAAUUGGUCAAUUAAUUUUAAUAUUAAUUGAUGGAUUAUUUUAAUUAAUUAUUAAUUGAUUUUAAUUGAUUAAUUAAUUAGAUUUAAUGAUUUCUUUUGAUUUAAAAAUUUCGAGAAAUAGUUUCGAGCUUUGGAUUAUUUUUCUAAAAUAUGUUUGAGGCUCGUUAAAUGAUUUCAAAUGAUUUCGGAUCCGAUCUUGAGCAAUCGGAUUUGAUUAUUUAUUCAAAAAUGGAUUCUUUUACCUGUUUUAAUUCCGAAAAAUGUUUAGAAAUUCCAGAAAAUUCGCGAAAAAUCAUUUUUAACUUGAGACUUGAUUGGAUAUCGAUUGGGACGGGAAACCUUAUGUGCAAUGUGUUGUCUGCUGUCUGUGUGAUAUGUUAUGUGCCGAUAGGAGAGUUAGAAAACGGUUUUGAUCAUAUCUUUUGAUCCGUAAUUCAGAAUCAGGUGAAACGAAAGGGAGAUGAAAGCUUAUGGAAUCUAUUUUAAUAUGACAAGAUAAUAUGAUCGAGUCUAGAAUGUGAUUAUAUGUCAUGUAAUAUGCAAUAUGUGUCAAUAUGUGACUUGUCUGCUAUGAAUUGAUGAUUACGUGAUAUACGUGGCUAUUCCUAAUAUUAUACAUAUGUGAUAAAUGACUUAUAUGACAUAGUGUCGUGAAUUGAUUGAUAUUGGAUAAGAAUAUAUGGAUAGUGAUUGAAUUGUGUUGGUUGAUGGUUGAUUGAGAUAGGAUAACAGGUGGAUAGUCUUAUACAUAGACGAGACGAUGUCGGAUUUUCGAUAAAGAUUUAUAUGAUAAUUGAUUUGUGAUAUGUUAUGUGGAAUAUGAUUGACUAUAUGUUAGAGUCAAAGCAUGAUUAUGUGAUAAGUGAUAUCUAAUAGGUUUAAAGGGUUAUAUAAGGGGUAUCGAUAUACGUGAUGUGUAUGUACAAUAGAUUGUUUAGUAAUUAUAGUAUUGUCUUAUUCUCGUUAAGGAUUUGGACGAGACGUAUACGAUCGAAGACAUUCAGAAGGUCAAACGAUGAUGCAAAGCGAAUGAGAAAUGAAUCGAAGAGACGAAGUCGUAUUACGAAUAAAGUAUAGCCAGAGAUGGUCUAGAGACUAUGAUAUGCAUAGGUUGUGAGUUGGAAAGAUGAGAUUAAGCUGUGUGUGGAAGCGGAUUUAAGGCAAGUUUUCCUAAAUCUUUCCUCAUAUAUAUAUUGCAUGUUCUGAUUAUUCUGUCCAGAUUAUGGUAUUGCUUAUACUGAAACCCUUCUCAAAUAAACUCUUAUUUCUGAGAAUGAAACCCAUGAUUGUUUUCUACCUUUAAGUCUUUGAAAAGCCAAACACCUAAAUACUCUCAAUUUCUAUUACAAGUAUUCUGAUCCAUUCUUUCCAAUCCUCAAGAUUUUAAAAAUAUCAGCUUUACAAAUUAAUUCGAAGUUCAGACCGUCAUUGAAGCAUGGGUUGCUCAGUGAUAGUUAGAACCUAGAAUGAAUUGGGAUCUUCUUGAUUAUUCAACCCGCCAUUGUCAUGCUGGUUUAGCAGGCUAAAUUCAGUUGCUUAGCCGAUAAUGGAGGAUACUGAAUAGUUAGGAAUUUCCUGAACUAUGAUUUAUCAAAAGACAGACUGUGGUUUAUGAAAUGUUGAUCCUCAAAAGUUGAUUUGGAAUAUUUCUGUUGUUGAUAAUGAUUAUGAUUCUGUUCUGUUGAUUGAAUUGUCUAUUGAUUUAAAUUGUUAGAAUUGGAUUAGUUUUUAUAAAAUAUGUGGACCAGAUUCGUGGUCAGACCAGAUUCGUGGUCAAUUAUAGGCCAAUGUGUGCCUUGGAUCCAGUAUAGAGAACAGGGCUGUGUGCCAUGUUCGGGGUUAGUGCGUGACUGAUCAGCAGCCUAACCUUUGGUUUUUAAGUAAAAAUGUGAUGAAUCCAAUUCGACAAUUCUUCUGUAAGUUUGAAUUCUGAUUUCAAUUGCUGAUAAGAAUUGUGAAGUUUUCAAUUACAUAUCCUGAACCCUGAUAAGAUAAUUCAGGACUAUUGUUGCUUAUAUACGCUUGCUGAGCAUUGUUGCUCACCCUUGCUAUUCCUUUUUAACCAUUUCAGAAAAGCUUAAAGAUGAAUUGCUUGAUUGAGAUUGCGAGUAUGGCUAAGGCUAAGCGAGGAGUCAGAGUUAUAGAAUAUCCAGAGGACAAGUGGAAUGUCCAGGGAGAUUGUCAAGGUUGGUUCUAGAUAGAAUUGUAUUGAUGAGAUUCAGUUGUAAGUCAUAAUUGAAAUAGAUUGACAGUGAUUCUUCUUAUCGAAGAUGAUCUGAGGUUGUAAGACAUUGUUUAUUGAUAGUGGUUGAUUCUAAUUUCAAUACUGUAACCUGGAUGCGAUCCUGUUUUUAGGGGGUUAAAGUGUUUUCUUUUAAAUCUUUUACUAAAGUUUUCAGGUUUUAAAUCCUUUGAUUUUAUUACCUUUUUCAAAAAUACAGGUUUUCAAAAGUGUUUUAGAAUGAUUUUGUGUGGUGACGUCAGAAUCCAGACCCCCGGAUUCUCGGGCUGUCACAGUUGGUAUCAGAGCAACAGGUUAUAAGUUAUUGAAAUUAGAAUAUAGAUUGUGGUCAUAAGUUUUAUAGAGAAGAAGUUUUCAGUGACCUCAUAUAGAGGUAUUGUGAGACUGUUUGGGGAUAGUCUAGAGAGGUAAUCGGAAUAGAAUCUAGAUAGUUAAUUAAGUUGAGGGUAUAUGUUUAGAUAGAUCAUGGUUCAUAAGUCUAGAAACUUGGUUUCUAGUAUGGGGACUGAUUGAGAUAGUGAUUUGUGAUAAGGGUCAGAGUUAGACCUAGUCAAAAGAGUAUUAAUAGUGAGAUUGAGUUAAGAAUGAUAAAGAUGCAUGGUUUGAAAAUGGUUUAUUGUUUUAACUGAGAUGUGAAAGAAUGGGUGUAGAAUAUGAGAUAUGUUGGAUUGGAAAGAGAGUUUUGUAGACAGGUGAGAAAUGAAUGAUAGAAAGUAUGUGGAAUUGAGUCUAGUUAUCAGAAGUGAUAUUAUGAGUAGGAUAGGACGCUAGUCUUCAACGACGACGCUUCAAGCUAACCGGGAAUUCAUCUGAUUUCAAGAUGAGCCAGCUUCAUUGCGAAUGAUAAUGUCUACAAGGAAAUCUUACGAGGCUAUCACGAGUUAACAUGGAUCGAUUAUCGAGAACGCCGAGAAGAAGACAUACAUUGAACAACGAUUUAUUGGAGCAGAGCAAGAAUUUGAGAAGACCUUGGCAAUAUCUUUUUCCAACAAAAGCUUAUUUUAAUUCUUUUCAUCAUCAUUGAGCCCUUAUACCUUUCCUACAAAAGUUUUAAUAGAUGAGGUUUUCCAGUUCUCGAAUGACGAGAGAACAUUAGUAUUGAUUAUUGAAAUAAGUGGUAUUGAUUCUUGGUGUGUGAUAAAAGUUGUUGUGAGAAGACAAUGAUAUUUCUUGAUAUUCCUUGACAUUCCGUGAUAUUCUUUGAUAUACCUUGAUAUCUCUUGAUAUUCUUUGGUACUUUUUGAGAUUCCUUGAUAUUCCUUCCAUCUGAUUGGGAUGAACAACCCUAUUUAUAGGGGACACAAGGUAUACCUGUCUGUGUGAUAGGAAUUGGAUGGGACGCCAUCACUUGUGUGUGUUGUGAUUACAAGAAGGUUAACAACCUUUAGUAGUGUCUAAUAUGGGCACGCAACACUAAGUUCGUUUGGUCAUAUUGAUCUCUCAGUCACUUUCUUAUUUAAACAUGACCUAUUCUGAAAACCUUUUGCUCCAUUCUAAGUUCUUAAAGAUUGAAUCUAAGAACUGAGCUCUGAAAUAGUGAAAGUUUUAAUACUCUUAUUUGUUUCAAAGUCAAAGGUAUGCCAAGGUCGAACGAAGGUGGAAGGAUGAUAGUACGAAGGGUGUACAUUUUCGUUCUCUUCGCGGAUUCUGAGGACAGAAUCCUUAUAAGGAGGGUAGAUUGUAACAUCCCAGAUUUUCAGAAUUAGUUUAUUAAUAUAGAAAUAAUUUUUGAAUAUUACUAUUGGCUUUAAUUGAUUUCUUCUGAUAAGAUGAACGGUCUGUGUAAUAUGAGUAUAAUUGUGAUGUGAAUUAUAAGGUUUAAACCGACUAUGCAUUCUUCUCCUGUGAUUUCGUAUAUUUUUACGACCCGGAUUUUUCAAAAAUUGUGUAUCGUUAUGAAAGUUAUUUUCUUAGAAAGAAGGAAUAAAGUUUAAUAUUUUAUUCCAGUUUAAGGUAUUUUCAAAAUUUUAUUUUAUAUAAUUGAUUUUAAAGAUUUAAAGGAUGGCUAUCGUUACAUGGCUAAGUGUUGCAUGUGGAAUUGUGAGUUUAAUUAGUUAUGAUAAUUAAAUGUGAAUAUUGCAUGAAUUUGGUGUGAAUUGAUUUUCUGUAAUUGGUAAUUAUACGUGCCAGAACUGUGGGUUCAAUUAUUGAUAUUAUCAGAAUGAGUCAUAUGUUAUUUAAAUAUUUUCAAAUGAUUUAUAUACGGAUAUAUGAAUAUCCUUUCAAAACUCAUUUCAAAUAUUAUUUCUGAAAAUACAGAGAUUUGUUAUGCAAAAGUUAGAUGGUCGAUAUGUGAAGAUAUGUAUUACAUGAUUAAGUGUUACGUGUGUAAUGGUCGCGUAAUUAGUUAUGGUUAUUUUUGAAUAUUAUAUGAAUAUUUGGUAAAUUCUUUGAUAACUAGUUUUUUUAUUUUGAUUGCUUAUAUAUGUUGCAAUCACGAGUUUUCAAUUUUCAUAUUCUCAGAAUAGAAUAUGGAACAUUUGGGUAUUUCCCUAAUAAUUUAUGAGUAGUAUGUGAUAUUUAUAUGAAUAUUUGUGAGGUUUGUGUUAUCUGAGUUAUUGAAUUGACUGCUCAUAUGUGUUCGGAUUUGAGAUAUUUCAAUUUCUAUAUGAUCAGAAUAAAAUCUAGUUUAUUUAGAUAUGUUCAUAUCGAUUUUUGGAUUGCUAUGUGAUUUUAUAAUCGAUUUAUGGAUUUAAUUUCGUUUAAUUAUUAAUUAUAUUAAAAUAUUUAUUUAAUAUUUUAAACCCCGCGGGCGUUCGGGGAAAAAUUCGCCAUUAGGCUAUUUGGGACAUUCUGAGCAUUUCUCGUGUUUUAACUUUUUCAAUCCGGAGUACGGUUUACCCCGUAAAUGGUCCGGUACAAUUUUGUUAAUAUUUUUAAGGUUAAUGAUUAUCUGGUUGUAUAAAAAUACGUGAAGCAUAUUCCAGAGAAUAUUCCAAAGCAUAUUCAAGGAAUAUUCCAAAGCAUAUUCGAGGAAUAUUCUCUUAUCUUCUUCUAUAAAUAUCCUUUACCAGUUUAUUUCGCACGUACAAUCAUUUCGCCAGUUCUCUGCACGAAUACCGAGAGAAAACGAACGGGUGUUCUUCGUGUUCUUCAUAAUCAAACAAGGAUUUGAAGGCGUUAUUGGAAUCCGAUGGAGGCGUAUAAAUAGUCAAAACGAAGCUCUCGACGCGUAGAAUCUAUUGUAGUUAUCCAUACCAGUGCUGAAUCGACAGGUUUUUACUAAGUAAGCUUUUUAAUUUCGAAUUUAAAUGAUUUUAAAUAUGAAUUUUUGCAAACGUGCUUGUUUGAUUGAUUUGAUGCUUCCAUGUUGUAGAGCGUCUCCUGCCAUUCGUUUUCAUAUAUUAUAUGCCGAUUUUUGACUUCCGUAACAUAUAGAAAAGUUAGUUUGAUUCUUGAAGUUGUGUUCUUGGAGGUUAUGAAUGUUCUUAAUUGGAAAAGAGGCGUUUUUAAUCUGGGGAUUCUGCGUUGUAUUGGUUUAUACCAUUAGGAAGAGCGUGUCAAGAGGAAUAUGUUCAUAUAAUCGGAUUUUGUGGAGGAUUCACGGUUGAGCUUAUUGGAGUUUAAGAACACCGGCGGUGUUCUUGGACUUUCCGGCCAAAAUCCGGCCAAACUACAUGCUAUUUACUGAUUCUGAUUAUGGGUAUGGGUUCCUGGUAGUAUGAACUUUAAAUCUGGAGUUUAUGGGGUGUGUAGGACGUCGGAAAAUCGAUUUCCGGCGAGGUAGUAUGGUGGCCGACGGAUAAUUUCCGUUUGGUCACCAACGUUAUGAAGAUGAUGAAGGUUUGACACUGGAGUUUGAUUGUUGACAUUCUAGCUCUCGAACUUUUGAAAGUUUACACCUGGCACCCUGCCAGACAAUUUCAGUAUUUUUACAAUUUAAACCUUUUCAAAUUUAUUUCAAAAAUUCAUUUUAGUGAUUUAUUUUAAUUUCAAAAAUAGUUUCUAAUUACUUCUUUAUUCAAAAAUAAAUCUGAAAUUAGUUUAUUAAUUAAAUUUAAUUAGUAAUUAAUUAUUUUAAUUGGUCAAUUAAUUUUAAUAUUAAUUGAUGGAUUAUUUUAAUUAAUUAUUAAUUGAUUUUAAUUGAUUAAUUAAUUAGAUUUAAUGAUUUCUUUUGAUUUAAAAAUUUCGAGAAAUAGUUUCGAGCUUUGGAUUAUUUUUCUAAAAUAUGUUUGAGGCUCGUUAAAUGAUUUCAAAUGAUUUCGGAUCCGAUCUUGAGCAAUCGGAUUUGAUUAUUUAUUCAAAAAUGGAUUCUUUUACCUGUUUUAAUUCCGAAAAAUGUUUAGAAAUUCCAGAAAAUUCGCGAAAAAUCAUUUUUAACUUGAGACUUGAUUGGAUAUCGAUUGGGACGGGAAACCUUAUGUGCAAUGUGUUGUCUGCUGUCUGUGUGAUAUGUUAUGUGCCGAUAGGAGAGUUAGAAAACGGUUUUGAUCAUAUCUUUUGAUCCGUAAUUCAGAAUCAGGUGAAACGAAAGGGAGAUGAAAGCUUAUGGAAUCUAUUUUAAUAUGACAAGAUAAUAUGAUCGAGUCUAGAAUGUGAUUAUAUGUCAUGUAAUAUGCAAUAUGUGUCAAUAUGUGACUUGUCUGCUAUGAAUUGAUGAUUACGUGAUAUACGUGGCUAUUCCUAAUAUUAUACAUAUGUGAUAAAUGACUUAUAUGACAUAGUGUCAUGAAUUGAUUGAUAUUGGAUAAGAAUAUAUGGAUAGUGAUUGAAUUGUGUUGGUUGAUGGUUGAUUGAGAUAGGAUAACAGGUGGAUAGUCUUAUACAUAGACGAGACGAUGUCGGAUUUUCGAUAAAGAUUUAUAUGAUAAUUGAUUUGUGAUAUGUUAUGUGGAAUAUGAUUGACUAUAUGUUAGAGUCAAAGCAUGAUUAUGUGAUAAGUGAUAUCUAAUAGGUUUAAAGGGUUAUAUAAGGGGGUAUCGAUAUACGUGAUGUGUAUGUACAAUAGAUUGUUUAGUGAUUAUAGUAUUGUCUUAUUCUCGUUAAGGAUUUGGACGAGACGUAUACGAUCGAAGACAUUCAGAAGGUCAAACGAUGAUGCAAAGCGAAUGAGAAAUGAAUCGAAGAGACGAAGUCGUAUUACGAAUAAAGUAUAGCCAGAGAUGGUCUAGAGACUAUGAUAUGCAUAGGUUGUGAGUUGGAAAGAUGAGAUUAAGCUGUGUGUGGAAGCGGAUUUAAGGCAAGUUUUCCUAAAUCUUUCCUCAUAUAUAUAUUGCAUGUUCUGAUUAUUCUGUCCAGAUUAUGGUAUUGCUUAUACUGAAACCCUUCUCAAAUAAACUUUUAUUUCUGAGAAUGAAACCCAUGAUUGUUUUCUACCUUUAAGUCUUUGAAAAGCCAAACACCCAAAUACUCUCAAUUUCUAUUACAAGUAUUCUGAUCCAUUCUUUCCAAUCCUCGAGAUUUUAAAAAUAUCAGCUUUACAAAUUAAUUCGAAGUUCAGACCGUCAUUGAAGCAUGGGUUGCUCAGUGAUAGUUAGAACCUAGAAUGAGUUGGGAUCUUCUUGAUUAUUCAACCCGCCAUUGUCAUGCUGGUUUAGCAGGCUAAAUUCAGUUGCUUAGCCGAUAAUGGAGGAUACUGAAUAGUUAGGAAUUUCCUGAACUAUGAUUUAUCAAAAGACAGACUGUGGUUUAUGAAAUGUUGAUCCUCAAAAGUUGAUUUGGAAUAUUUCUGUUGUUGAUAAUGAUUAUGAUUCUGUUCUGUUGAUUGAAUUGUCUAUUGAUUUAAAUUGUUAGAAUUGGAUUAGUUUUUAUAAAAUAUGUGGACCAGAUUCGUGGUCAGACCAGAUUCGUGGUCAAUUAUAGGCCAAUGUGUGCCUUGGAUCCAGUAUAGAGA
This 9051-nucleotide long non-coding RNA is filed under the name Daucus carota (carrot). RNAcentral describes it as "long non-coding RNA (DCAR_LNC005613)". The record is from RNAcentral. Lineage: Eukaryota; Viridiplantae; Streptophyta; Magnoliopsida; Apiales; Apiaceae.